AUGUUUUCUAUCUAGCCUAACAACCCCAACCGCCUACCAAACACUCACCUUCAACUAAUAAAACAUUUAUUUUACUAAGUAUAUGAGAUAAAAAAGUAUAAUAGAGCUUUAAAAUAGUACCGUAAGGGAAAGAUGAAAUAAAUGAAACAUUUAAAAACAUUAAAUAGCAGAGACCUUAACUCGUACCUUUUGCAUCAUGGCCUAACAAGUCCAAUCAGGCAAAACGAAUUUAAGUCUGACCCCCCGAAACUAAGUGAGCUACUCCGGGGCUACUAAAUGUAAGCCCGUCUCUGUCGCAAAAGAGUGGACAGACCCCUGAGUAGAGGCGAAAAACCUAUCGAACUUAGUAAUAGCUGGUUGCUUAGGAAAAGGAUUUUAGUUCUUUCUUAAAAAUACCUUAUCACCUCAUCCAAGAGAGCCUUAUUUUUAAGAAAUUAUUCAAUAAAGGUACAGCUUUAUUGAAGAAGGAAACAGCCUAAACCUUUGGAUAAUGAUUAUAACACCCAAGGAAAUUAAGACUAGUCGGCCUAAAAGCAGCCACCUUCAAUAGCGUCAAAGCUUCACCUCAAUCUCCUCCCUUAAUCCCACUAAAAUAUCAAAAUCCAAUAUUACUACUAAGCCAUUCUAUAAUUUUAUAGAAGAAUUUAUGUUAGGAUUAGUAACAAAGAAUAAUUUCUCUUAUAUAUAAGUUUAAAUCAGCUCGAAUACCUCCCUGAUAGUUAAUCAACCCUGAAUUCAUAGUAAUAACUUCUCCCCCUCCAAAAACCCUACUUUAAUAAUUGUUAAUCAGACACAUGAAUAUAAAAGAAAGAUGAAAAAAUUAAGAAGGAACUCGGCAAACACAAAUCUCGCCUGUUUACCAAAAACAUCGCCUUUUGAAAAAUAUAAAAGGUAACGCCUGCCCAGUGACUCUAUGUUCAACGGCCGCGGUAUCCUGACCGCGCGAAGGUAGCGUAAUCAUUUGUCUUUUAAAUGGAGACCUGUAUGAAAGGCAUUACGAGGAUUUAACUGUCUCCUUAAUUUAAUCAGUGAAAUUGAUCCCCCCGUGAAAAAGCGGGAAUAAAGCCAUAAGACGAGAAGACCCUAUGGAGCUUAAAACCUCAAACUACUUGUAUAACCUGCCUAUUAACAAGCACUAAAGACAAACCUAGUUUAAGUUUUCUGUUGGGGUGACUGUGGAGAAAAACUAAUCCUCCAUGAAGAAUAAACUUAGAGCUACCACCCUAAGUAUUAGUAAACCUAACUUUAAUUGAUCCAAUCUUUGAUCAACGGACCAAGUUACCCUAGGGAUAACAGCGCUAUCCAUUUCAAGAGUCCCUAUCGACAAAUGGGUUUACGACCUCGAUGUUGGAUUAGGACAUCCUAGUGGUGAAGCCGCUACUAAUGGUUCGUUUGUUCAACGAUUAAAGU
This 1410-nucleotide ribosomal RNA is filed under the name Leptobrachium nigrops (black-eyed litter frog). RNAcentral's name for it is "partial 16S rRNA". It matches the Rfam family "Bacterial large subunit ribosomal RNA", at positions 361 to 2594 of the family's 2925-position model. The record is from RNAcentral. Lineage: Eukaryota; Metazoa; Chordata; Amphibia; Anura; Megophryidae.